Molecule: small RNA, 113 nt
Filed under: Vector pAAVsc_gSerpina1a
Description: Serpina1a-gRNA2
Rfam family: Trans-activating crRNA (bases 22-113)
About the family: RNA-guided Streptococcus pyogenes Cas9 (SpCas9) is a sequence-specific DNA endonuclease, the Trans-activating CRISPR RNA form an hybrid with the crRNA (crRNA/tracrRNA). The RNA hybrid acts as a guide for the endonuclease Cas9.
Source: RNAcentral
GGCCAGGGGGACAGGCUAGGGUUUCAGAGCUAUGCUGGAAACAGCAUAGCAAGUUGAAAUAAGGCUAGUCCGUUAUCAACUUGAAAAAGUGGCACCGAGUCGGUGCUUUUUUU